This 459-nucleotide ribosomal RNA is filed under the name uncultured bacterium. Its description in RNAcentral is "partial 16S ribosomal RNA". It matches the Rfam family "Bacterial small subunit ribosomal RNA", at positions 338 to 795 of the family's 1533-position model. The record is from RNAcentral.
CCUACGGGUGGCAGCAGUGAGGAAUAUUGGUCAAUGGGCGCGAGCCUGAACCAGCCAAGUCGCGUGAGGGAAGACGGUCCUAUGGAUUGUAAACCUCUUUUGUCGGGGAGCAAAAGACGCCACGCGUGGCGUUCCGAGCGUACCCUACGAACAAGCAUCGGCUAACUCCGUGCCAGCAGCCGCGGUAAUCCUGAGGAUGCGAGCGUUAUCCGGAUUGAUUGGGUUUAAAGGGUGCGCAGGCGGAAGAUCAAGUCAGCGGUAAAAUUGAGAGGCUCAACCUCUGCGAGCCGUUGAAACUGGUGGUCUGGAGUGAGUGAGAAGUAUGCGGAAUGCGUGGUGUAGCGGUGAAAUGCAUAGAUAUCACGCAGAACUCCGAGUGCGAAGGCAGCAUACCGGAGCUCAACUGACGCUCAUGCACGAAAGUGUGGGUAUCGAACAGGAUUAGAUACCCGGGUAGUC